UCUCCGUUGGUGAACCAGCGGAGGGAUCAUUAUCGAGUUAUUCAACUCCCAAACCCUAUGUGAACUUACCACUUGUUGCUUCGGCGCGCGCUUCGGCGCCGCCGAGGACACUUAAACUCUUUGUUUUUAUAAGCAUUUCUGAGUGGCCGAAAGGCAAAAAUACAAAUGAAUCAAAACUUUCAACAACGGAUCUCUUGGUUCUG
Molecule: unclassified non-coding RNA, 203 nt
Filed under: root metagenome
Description: partial contains small subunit ribosomal RNA, internal transcribed spacer 1, and 5.8S ribosomal RNA
Source: RNAcentral